This 74-nucleotide transfer RNA is filed under the name Planctomycetales bacterium. RNAcentral's name for it is "tRNA-Pro". It matches the Rfam family "tRNA". From Rfam's summary of the family: Transfer RNA (tRNA) molecules are approximately 80 nucleotides in length. Lineage: Bacteria; Pseudomonadati; Planctomycetota; Planctomycetia; Planctomycetales. The record is from RNAcentral.
CAGGGUGUGGGAAAGCCUGGCAUUCCGCGUGCUUCGGGAGCACGAGAUCGCUGGUUCAAAUCCAGCCAUCCUGA